GUAGCUUGCUACUUAACUUAGCGGCGGACGGGUGAGUAAUACUUAGGAAUCUGCCUAUUAGUGGGGGACAACAUUUCGAAAGGAAUGCUAAUACCGCAUACGUCCUACGGGAGAAAGCAGGGGAUCACUUGUGACCUUGCGCUAAUAGAUGAGCCUAAGUCGGAUUAGCUAGUUGGUGGGGUAAAGGCCUACCAAGGCGACGAUCUGUAGCGGGUCUGAGAGGAUGAUCCGCCACACUGGGACUGAGACACGGCCCAGACUCCUACGGGAGGCAGCAGUGGGGAAUAUUGGACAAUGGGGGGAACCCUGAUCCAGCCAUGCCGCGUGUGUGAAGAAGGCCUUUUGGUUGUAAAGCACUUUAAGCGAGGAGGAGGCUACUCUAGUUAAUACCUAGAGAUAGUGGACGUUACUCGCAGAAUAAGCACCGGCUAACUCUGUGCCAGCAGCCGCGGUAAUACAGAGGGUGCGAGCGUUAAUCGGAUUUACUGGGCGUAAAGCGUGCGUAGGUGGCCAAUUAAGUCAAAUGUGAAAUCCCCGAGCUUAACUUGGGAAUUGCAUUCGAUACUGGUUGGCUAGAGUAUGGGAGAGGAUGGUAGAAUUCCAGGUGUAGCGGUGAAAUGCGUAGAGAUCUGGAGGAAUACCGAUGGCGAAGGCAGCCAUCUGGCCUAAUACUGACACUGAGGUACGAAAGCAUGGGGAGCAAACAGGAUUAGAUACCCUGGUAGUCCAUGCCGUAAACGAUGUCUACUAGCCGUUGGGGUCUUUGAGACUUUAGUGGCGCAGCUAACGCGAUAAGUAGACCGCCUGGGGAGUACGGUCGCAAGACUAAAACUCAAAUGAAUUGACGGGGGCCCGCACAAGCGGUGGAGCAUGUGGUUUAAUUCGAUGCAACGCGAAGAACCUUACCUGGUCUUGACAUAGUAAGAACUUUCCAGA
This 936-nucleotide ribosomal RNA is filed under the name Acinetobacter albensis. RNAcentral describes it as "bacterial SSU rRNA". It matches the Rfam family "Bacterial small subunit ribosomal RNA", at positions 75 to 1004 of the family's 1533-position model. Lineage: Bacteria; Pseudomonadati; Pseudomonadota; Gammaproteobacteria; Moraxellales; Moraxellaceae. The record is from RNAcentral.